AGAACGAACGCUGGCGGCAGGCCUAAUACAUGCAAGUCGAACGCACUCUUCGGAGUGAGUGGCAGACGGGUGAGUAACGCGUGGGAACCUUCCCAAUGGUACGGAAUAACUCCGGGAAACCGGUGCUAAUACCGUAUAAGCCCCUCGGGGGAAAGAUUUAUCGCCAUUGGAUGGGCCCGCGUCGGAUUAGCUAGUUGGUAAGGUAAUGGCUUACCAAGGCUACGAUCCGUAGCUGGUCUGAGAGGACGAUCAGCCACACUGGGACUGAGACACGGCCCAGACUCCUACGGGAGGCAGCAGUGGGGAAUAUUGGACAAUGGGCGCAAGCCUGAUCCAGCCAUGCCGCGUGAGUGAUGAAGGCCUUCGGGUUGUAAAGCUCUUUUGGCGGGACGAUGAUGACGGUACCGCAGAAUAAGCCCCGGCAAACUUCGUGCCAGCAGCCGC
RNAcentral lists this ribosomal RNA (444 nucleotides) under uncultured bacterium. Its description in RNAcentral is "SSU rRNA". It matches the Rfam family "Bacterial small subunit ribosomal RNA", at positions 26 to 518 of the family's 1533-position model. The record is from RNAcentral.